RNAcentral lists this ribosomal RNA (467 nucleotides) under uncultured bacterium. RNAcentral's name for it is "partial 16S ribosomal RNA". It matches the Rfam family "Bacterial small subunit ribosomal RNA", at positions 28 to 507 of the family's 1533-position model. The record is from RNAcentral.
GAUGAACGCUGACAGAAUGCUUAACACAUGCAAGUCAACUUGAAUUUGGGUUUUUAACUUAGGUUUGGGUGGCGGACGGGUGAGUAACGCGUAAAGAACUUGCCUCACAGCUAGGGACAACAUUUGGAAACGAAUGCUAAUACCUAAUAUUAUGAUAAUAGGGCAUCCUAUAAUUAUGAAAGCUAUAAGCGCUGUGAGAGAGCCUUGCGUCCCAUUAGCUAGUUGGAGAGGUAACGGCUCACCAAGGCGAUGAUGGGUAGCCGGUCUGAGAGGGUGAUCGGCCACAAGGGGACUGAGACACGGCCCUUACUCCUACGGGAGGCAGCAGUGGGGAAUAUUGGACAAUGGACCGAGAGUCUGAUCCAGCAAUUCUGUGUGCACGAUGAAGUUUUUCGGAAUGUAAAGUGCUUUCAGUUGGGAAGAAACAAAUGACGGCACCAACAGAAGAAGUGACGGCUAAAUACGUG